RNAcentral lists this ribosomal RNA (253 nucleotides) under uncultured bacterium. RNAcentral describes it as "partial 16S ribosomal RNA". It matches the Rfam family "Bacterial small subunit ribosomal RNA", at positions 524 to 776 of the family's 1533-position model. The record is from RNAcentral.
UACGUAGGUGACAAGCGUUGUCCGGAUUUACUGGGCGUAAAGAGCGCGCAGGCGGUCGUUCAAGUCGAGUGUGAAAGCCCCCGGCUCAACUGGGGAGGGUCACUCGAUACUGAUCGACUCGAAGGCAGGAGAGGGUAGUGGAAUUCCCGGUGUAGUGGUGAAAUGCGUAGAUAUCAAGCGGAACACCGGUGGCGAAGGCGGCCUUCUGGACAGUGACUGACGCUGAGACGCGAAAGCGUGGGGAGCAAACAGG